CCUACGGGCGGCAGCAGUGAGGAAUAUUGGUCAAUGGACGAGAGUCUGAACCAGCCAAGUAGCGUGAAGGAUGACUGCCCUAUGGGUUGUAAACUUCUUUUAUAUGGGAAUAAAAUGUUCCACGUGUGGGAUUUUGUAUGUACCAUAUGAAUAAGGAUCGGCUAACUCCGUGCCAGCAGCCGCGGUAAUACGGAGGAUCCGAGCGUUAUCCGGAUUUAUUGGGUUUAAAGGGAGCGUAGGUGGAUUGUUAAGUCAGUUGUGAAAGUUUGCGGCUCAACCGUAAAAUUGCAGUUGAAACUGGCAGUCUUGAGUACAGUAGAGGUGGGCGGAAUUAGUGGUGUAGCGGUGAAAUGCUUAGAUAUCACGAAGAACUCCGAUUGCGAAGGCAGUUCACUGGACUGCAACUGACACUGAGGCUCGAAAGUGUGGGUAUCAAACAGGAUUAGAUACCCCAGUAGUC
RNAcentral lists this ribosomal RNA (460 nucleotides) under uncultured bacterium. Its description in RNAcentral is "partial 16S ribosomal RNA". It matches the Rfam family "Bacterial small subunit ribosomal RNA", at positions 338 to 795 of the family's 1533-position model. The record is from RNAcentral.